Molecule: long non-coding RNA, 243 nt
Organism: Bradysia coprophila
Lineage: Eukaryota; Metazoa; Arthropoda; Insecta; Diptera; Sciaridae
Source: RefSeq, a predicted model, not a curated record
AACGAUAUUUGCGGCUCACUGCAAUAUCUCACCAUUGAAAAUGUGGCCCAAAGAUUAUGGUCCAAACGAAAUUGAAAACGGUCUAGAACAAUAUGACUUCAUAGUUGUAGGAGCCGUAAGUUCUGGAUCCGUUGUUGCUAGUCGGGCUAAGUGAAGAACGAAAUCGGAGAGUCCUUCUAUUAGAAACUGGUGGAGAUCCCUCAAUUGAAUCAAAGAUUCCAGCAUUUGCUGAUGGUUUGAGAA